Molecule: ribosomal RNA, 165 nt
Filed under: uncultured bacterium
Lineage: Bacteria
Description: partial 16S ribosomal RNA
Rfam family: Bacterial small subunit ribosomal RNA
Source: RNAcentral
UAGGGAAUCUUCCACAAUGGACGAAAGUCUGACCGAGCAACGCCGCGUGAGUGAAGAAGGUUUUCGGAUCGUAAAACUCUGUUGGUAGAGAAGAACGUUGGUGAGAGUGGAAAGCUCAUCAAGUGACGGUAACUACCCAGAAAGGGACGGCUAACUACGUACCAG